RNAcentral lists this ribosomal RNA (490 nucleotides) under uncultured bacterium. RNAcentral's name for it is "partial 16S ribosomal RNA". It matches the Rfam family "Bacterial small subunit ribosomal RNA", at positions 30 to 507 of the family's 1533-position model. The record is from RNAcentral.
AUUGAACGCUGGCGGCAGGCCUAACACAUGCAAGUCGAACGGUAACAGGGAUCAGCUUGCUGAUUCGCUGACGAGUGGCGGACGGGUGAGUAAUGUCUGGAAAACUGCCUGAUGGAGGGGGAUAACUACUGGAAACGGUAGCUAAUACCGCAUAACGUCGCAAGACCAAAGAGGGGGACCUUCGGGCCUCUUGCCAUCGGAUGUGCCCAGAUGGGAUUAGCUAGUAGGUGGGGUAACGGCUCACCUAGGCGACGAUCCCUAGCUGGUCUGAGAGGAUGACCAGCCACACUGGAACUGAGACACGGUCCAGACUCCUACGGGAGGCAGCAGUGGGGAAUAUUGCACAAUGGGCGCAAGCCUGAUGCAGCCAUGCCGCGUGUAUGAAGAAGGCCUUCGGGUUGUAAAGUACUUUCAGCGGGGAGGAAGGGAGUAAAGUUAAUACCUUUGCUCAUUGACGUUACCCGCAGAAGAAGCACCGGCUAACUCCGUG